RNAcentral lists this ribosomal RNA (1541 nucleotides) under human gut metagenome. Its description in RNAcentral is "bacterial LSU rRNA". It matches the Rfam family "Bacterial large subunit ribosomal RNA", at positions 1100 to 2652 of the family's 2925-position model. The record is from RNAcentral.
GUUGGCUUAGAAGCAGCCACUCAUUUAAAGAGUGCGUAAUAGCUCACUAGUCGAGAGAUCCUGCGCCGAAAAUGUACCGGGGCUAAACUUACCACCGAAGCUACGGAUUUGCAAGUAAUUGCAAGUGGUAGGGGAGCGUCGUAAUCGGGCUGAAGUCGUACCGGAAGGAGCGGUGGACUGAUUACGAGUGAGAAUGUUGGCAUUAGUAGCGAGAUGUAGGUGAGAAUCCUACAGGCCGAAUAUCUAAGGUUUCCUCAGGAAGGCUCGUCCGCUGAGGGUUAGUCGGGACCUAAGCCGAGGCCGAAAGGCGUAGGCGAUGGACAAUCGGUUGAUAUUCCGAUACCACUACCAUCGUUAUUAUCGAGGGUGUGACGGAGAAGGAUAGUGUGUGCUAGCGAUUGGAAAUGCUAGUCUAAGCGUUUAGGGAGUUACGGUAGGCAAAUCCGCUGUAACAAUUCUGAGGCGUGAUGGGGAAGGUCAUUAAGACCGAAGUACAUGAUUCCAUGCUUCCAAGAAAAGCAUCUAGAGAGAGAAGUAGUGCCCGUACCGCAAACCGACACAGGUAGAUGAGGAGAGAAUCCUAAGGCCGGCGGAAGAAUUGCAGUUAAGGAACUAGGCAAAUUGACCCCGUAAGUUCGCGAGAAGGGGUGCCUGCGAGAGCAGGCCGCAGAGAAUAGGCCCAAGCAACUGUUUAGCAAAAACACAGGUCUCUGCUAAAGCGUAAGCUGAUGUAUAGGGGCUGACGCCUGCCCGGUGCUGGAAGGUUAAGGGGAACACUUAGCGCAAGCGAAGGUGUGAACUUAAGCCCCAGUAAACGGCGGCCGUAACUAUAACGGUCCUAAGGUAGCGAAAUUCCUUGUCAGGUAAGUUCUGACCCGCACGAAUGGCGUAAUGACUUGGGCACUGUCUCAACUGCAAAUCCGGCGAAGUUGUAGUGCGAGUGAAGAUGCUCGCUACCCGCGAUUGGACGGAAAGACCCCGUAGAGCUUUACUGUAGCUUAGCAUUGAAUUCCGGUAUUGUCUGUACAGGAUAGGUGGGAGACUGGGAAACUAGGGCGUCAGCCUUAGUGGAGUCAACCUUGGGAUACCACCCUGACAGUACUGGGGUUCUAACAGGACGCCAUGAAGCUGGUGACUGGACAUUGUUAGGUGGGCAGUUUGACUGGGGCGGUCGCCUCCUAAAAAGUAACGGAGGCGCCCAAAGGUUCCCUCAGAACGGUCGGAAAUCGUUCGUAGAGUGCAAAGGCAGAAGGGAGCCUGACUGCGAGACCCACAAGUCGAGCAGGGACGAAAGUCGGGCUUAGUGAUCCGGUGGUACCUCGUGGGAGGGCCAUCGCUCAACGGAUAAAAGCUACCUCGGGGAUAACAGGCUGAUCUCCCCCAAGAGUCCACAUCGACGGGGAGGUUUGGCACCUCGAUGUCGGCUCGUCGCAUCCUGGGGCUGUAGUAGGUCCCAAGGGUUGGGCUGUUCGCCCAUUAAAGCGGCACGCGAGCUGGGUUCAGAACGUCGUGAGACAGUUCGGUCCCUAUCCGUCGCGGGC